ACUCCUACGGGAGGCUGCAGUGGGGAAUCUUCCGCAAUGGGCGAAAGCCUGACGGAGCAACGCCGCGUGAGUGACGAAGGCCCUUGGGUCGUAAAACUCUGUCUUCAGGGAAGAAAAAAAUGACGGUACCUGAGGAGGAAGCCCCGGCUAACUACGUGCCAGCAGCCGCGGUAAAACGUAGGGGGCGAGCGUUGUCCGGAAUUACUGGGCGUAAAGGGCGUGUAGGCGGUUCGCGAAGUCAGGAGUGAAAACUCGGGGCUCAACCUCGAGAUUGCUUUUGAAACCAGCGGGCUUGAGUGCAGGAGAGGAAAGUGGAAUUCCCAGUGUAGCGGUGAAAUGCGUAGAUAUUGGGAGGAACACCAGUGGCGAAAGCGGCUUUCUGGCCUGUAACUGACGCUGAGGCGCGAAAGCGUGGGGAGCAGACAGGAUUAGAUACCCUGGUAGUCCACGCCGUAAACGAUGGGUGCUAAGUGUUGGGGGUAUCGACCCCCCUCAGUGCUGUAGUUAACGCAAUAAGCACCCCGCCUGGGGAGUACGGUCGCAAGACUGAAACUCAAAGGAAUUGACGGGGGCCCGCACAAGCGGUGGAGCAUGUGGUUUAAUUCGACGCAACGCGAAGAACCUUACCAGGGAUUGACAUCCCCUGACCGGGCAUGAAAGUGUCCUUUCCCUUCGGGGACAGGGAGACAGGUGGUGCAUGGUUGUCGUCAGCUCGUGUCGUGAGAUGUUGGGUUAAGUCCCGCAACGAGCGCAACCCCUACGUUUAGUUGCUAACAGGUAGAGCUGAGAACUCUGAACGGACUGCCGUUGACAAAACGGAGGAAGGUGGGGAUGACGUCAAAUCAUCAUGCCCCUUAUACCCUGGGCUACACACGUGCUACAAUGGUCCGUACAGAGGGCAGCGACACGGCGACGUGAAGCGAAUCCCUUAAAGCGGAUCUCAGUUCGGAUUGCAGGCUGCAACUCGCCUGCAUGAAGUCGGAAUCGCUAGUAAUCGCAGGUCAGCAUACUGCGGUGAAUACGUUCCCGGGCCU
RNAcentral lists this ribosomal RNA (1034 nucleotides) under uncultured bacterium. RNAcentral's name for it is "bacterial SSU rRNA". It matches the Rfam family "Bacterial small subunit ribosomal RNA", at positions 335 to 1381 of the family's 1533-position model. The record is from RNAcentral.